Long non-coding RNA from Erigeron canadensis, 1836 nucleotides. RefSeq lists it as uncharacterized. The record is from RefSeq and is a predicted model, not a curated record. The transcript is spliced from 4 exons. NCBI's taxonomy places the organism in Eukaryota, Viridiplantae, Streptophyta, Magnoliopsida, Asterales, Asteraceae.
AAAAUAUGAAUAUACAUACAACCCCCUCAUCCAAUUCUUAGAACUGUUGCCAACUAUCUGCUCCUCGUCUUUCAAGGCAACAAGGUAUCCAAUUCUUUGACGAUGACACACCGAAGAGUAAAGGUUGUUACCAUCCUUAAUUUGUGUACCCUUAAAUAGAUAUAUAUGUAUAUAUAAACGACCAAUGGGUGAAAUCAUGUGUCUACAUAUAAAGACUAGAGGUUACAAGUUCAAAAUGACAAAUAGUUAGUUGUAGUAUGAGCUUUAAGUUAACUAAUGUGUGUUUAUUAUUUGUUUUAUAGGUCGUUUAUCUGGAUAUAAUGUUUUAAUACUUAAAGCUCAUACUGCAACUAACUAUUAUGUUGGAUCAAAUUCAAUUUCUCCAUUUGUCAUUUUGAACUUGUAACCUCUAGUCUUCAUGUGUGGACACAUGAUUUCACCCAUUGGUCGUUUAUAUAGUUUAAGUUAAACAAAUUAAGGAUGGUAACAACCUUUACUUUUCAGCGUGUCAUCGUCAAAGAAUUAGAUACCUUGUUGGCUUGAAAGACGAGGAGCAGGAUAGUUGGCAACAGUUCAAAGAAUUGGAUGAGGGAGUUGUAUGUAUAUUCAUAUUUUGAUAUGUUUCUACUCAUUUGUAUUUGAAUGUGUUUUUAUGUAUAUGCGUUUCUUUAUGUUUAUGGCAGUCUCUACUUUCUACACUUUCUUUACCGAAUAGUUGAAGCAAGAAAAAAGCCAAUUAGACUCGAGUAUUCAAUUGUAAAAAUUGCUGACGACUUUGUCGUUUACGUCUUUAAUGAGUCGUAUAAAACGGUAUGAGUUUCAUUUCACCUAUUUUCGAGAUUUUAGAUUAGGAAAUUUUAUCACUGAUUAAUCAUCUGUCAUCGUAUAUAAACAGAUUUUUUGUUGUUGUUAUAGCUUGCCAAGGAGCAACAUGUUAUCCUUUAGGAGUAUGAAAUUAUGGAGUUCAAAUAUAUAAAAGUAACCGGGAGGUAUUACUUCUAUAUCAUCAUAGAAGCCAUUGGGCAAGGCAAUUUUGACGUCUAUGAAGCCAUAGUUGAGUUUGAGAGUGAUGAUGGUAGGAUAACAUUGCUCGUGUUUUUAGGUACCGGCACACACCCGUUGGUAUGUGAUUAUUUGGAAAAUCUUAUAAGAAGGCAUGUGUGUACUCUCUUUUGUAGUACUGUUUUCUAGAAUGUCAUUUUGGGACUAUAUGCAAGGUACCCCUUAAAGUCUUGUCGUUACAGCACCCUCCCAUAUAGUUUUUCUAAUUUUCUAUUUAUCAUUUUUUUCAUCUCGGAUCUACAGGUAAGAAGAAAGGCAUGAAAACAGCUGAGUUGAUUUGCCUGAAAAAGUACAACGAAAAUGCUGUAAAAGGGCUUCACAAAGUGCUACCUCGGGGCAUACUGUCACUCUUUCCACCAACUUGCAGUCGAACUAAUCGAGAUGGCUGGACUAAUUCAGGCAAAUAUACCGAGAUGGUGUGUAGGACGAAGGGAAGAUGGCACUACCUGUGGUUACGACUACUAUAACCCAUUGGUAGGAGGUUUAGACUUGGGCUUUGUGGUGUGAGCAGACAAGAACUCAUGAAUCUGGUAGUUGUGGGAUAGAACCAGAGGUAGAUUUUUGGUGAUAUUGGAUGGCCCUAGUAGUUCUAAACAAUGUCAACCUUCUUGAAUUUAAGCAUAAUUAUUAUACCUAAUUAAGCGCCGUGUAAUUUUAUACUUAAACAUGGGUCAUAUAUGCAAACGUAGUUACAAUUUGGUUACCCGUUAGAUUUGAAACUGUCAAUGUAUAUCUAUCUUUGCCUAAUUUUUGGAACUUGUUAGACCUACGAAA